UGGUGGUGCAUGGCCGUUCUUAGUCGGUGAAGUGAUUUGUCUGGUUAAUUCCGAUAACGGACGAGACCUCAGCCAUCUAAAUAGCUGAAGCUAACUUGUUAGCUUGGACCUUGGGUCUUUUCAGCUUCUUAGAGGGACUAUCUGUUUUUAGCAGAAGGAGGAUUGAGGCAAUAACAGGUCAGUGAUGCCCUUAGAUGAUCUGGGCUGCACGCGCGCUACAAUGGUGCAUUCAAUGAGUUUAACCUUGCUUGAAAAAGUUGGGUAAUCUCUGAAAGCGCAUCAAAGUUGGGAUAGAUGAUUGCAAUUGU
Molecule: ribosomal RNA, 308 nt
Filed under: uncultured Haplosporidia
Lineage: Eukaryota; Endomyxa; Ascetosporea; Haplosporida
Description: bacterial SSU rRNA
Rfam family: Eukaryotic small subunit ribosomal RNA
Source: RNAcentral